This 1446-nucleotide ribosomal RNA is filed under the name Triticum aestivum (bread wheat). RNAcentral's name for it is "partial small subunit ribosomal RNA". The record is from RNAcentral. Lineage: Eukaryota; Viridiplantae; Streptophyta; Magnoliopsida; Poales; Poaceae.
GCCGCCGACUCGUUCCGCCGCUACGGCCGGGACUCGUCGGCGCGGGCCGACUCCUUCACCGGCUACGAGGCUAACGGCAACGUCGUCACCGCCAACUUCACCUCCUACGCCGGCGGCUCCACUGGCGGGUCGGGCUCCUUCACCGCCUACGCCGUGGACACCAACGUCCCGGAAUCCAAGUUCACCAACUACGACGCCGGGGCCAAUGGGCGGACCCGCGGGUUCACAUCCUACUCCCAGGAGGCCAACCACGGGGAGAGCAGCUUCGCCGGCUAUGGCAAGAGCGCCAACAGCCUGCGGGAGACCUUCACCUCCUACGGCGGUGACACCAACACCCUCAGCUCCGGCUUCGCCAACUAUGGCGAGUCCGCCAACGGCGCCACCGACACCUUCACGGGAUACGGUGUCGAGGGGAACGUACCCGAGAACACGUUCCGGAGCUACGGUGCCGGCGGCAAUGCCGGAGUGGACACGUUCAAGGGGUACCGCGAUGACGCCAAUGUCGGGGGCGACAGCUUUGCCUCCUACGCCAAGGGUGCCAACGGCGGGGCCGCCGAGUUCCAGAGCUACGGUGGCUCGGCCAACCAGGGCAGCGUCGCCUUCAAAGGCUACGGCGAAGGCACCAACCGCAACCACCACAUUGGGUUCAAGCAGUACGCCGGAGACAAUACCACGUUCAAGGGGUACGCCAAGACCGGCGUUGACUUCAAGGAGUAUCACAACACGUCAAGCUCAGUGUCAGUGUCGGCGGAGGCAACCACAUCCGAGCAUCAGCAUAUGAAGUGGUCUCCAGAGCCAGGCAAGUUCUUCCGGGAGAGGGAGCUGGUGGCCGGGAACCGAAUGCCCAUGCCAGACAUCAGGGACAAGAUGCCACCCAGGGCAUUCCUGCCGAGAGACAUUGCCAGGAAGAUACCAUUCGAGCUGAAUGCCGUGUCAGAGGUCUUCAGGGUGCCCCUGGACACGGCGAUGGGCAAGGCAGUGGCAUCCACGGUAGCCGAGUGCGAGCGCGCGCCCAGCCAGGGCGAGACCAAGAGGUGCGCGACCUCAGCGGAGGACAUUGUGGACUUUGCUGUGGAGAUGCUAGGCAGUGACAUUGUUGUGCACAGCACGGCCUCCACGGCGGGCAGCGGCGCGGACAUCAGGCUGGGCAAUGUCACCGGAGUCCACGGUCGCAAGGUGACACGGCCCGUAUCAUGCCACCAGAGCCUGUUCCCGUACCUGGUGUACUACUGCCACUCAGUGCCCAAGGCGCGGGUGUACGAGGCCGAUAUCACCGCCGCCGACUCUGGUCAGAAGAUCAAUCACGGGGUGGCCAUCUGUCACCUUGACACUUCUGAUUGGAGCCCAGCUCAUGGAGCGUUCAUCGCCCUUGGUGGUAAACCCGGCAAAAUAGAGGUUUGCCAUUGGAUCUUCGAGGGCGACAUGACAUGGACAGUCGCAGAUUGA